RNAcentral lists this ribosomal RNA (253 nucleotides) under uncultured bacterium. RNAcentral's name for it is "partial 16S ribosomal RNA". It matches the Rfam family "Bacterial small subunit ribosomal RNA", at positions 524 to 776 of the family's 1533-position model. The record is from RNAcentral.
UACGGAGGGUGCAGGCGUUAUCCGGAUUCACUGGGUUUAAAGGGUGCGUAGGCGGGCAGGUAAGUCAGUGGUGAAAUCUCCGGGCUUAACCCGGAAACUGCCGUUGAUACUAUCUGUCUUGAAUAUCGUGGAGGUAAGCGGAAUAUGUCAUGUAGCGGUGAAAUGCUUAGAUAUGACAUAGAACACCCAUUGCGAAGGCAGCUUACUACACGAUCAUUGACGCUGAGGCACGAAAGCGUGGGGAGCAAACAGG